AGCAGCCGCGGUAAUUCCAGCUCCAAUAGCGUAUAUUAAAGUUGUUGCAGUUAAAAAGCUCGUAGUUGAAUUUCGGGACCAAUUUGUUGGUCGUGCCUCGGUACGUACUGGUAUUAUUGGUUUCUCCCUUCUGAAGAACCAUGAUGCCAUUAAUUUGGUGUCGUGGGGAAUCAGGACUGUUACUUUGAAAAAAUUAGAGUGUUUAAAGCAGGCAUACGCUUGAAUACAUUAGCAUGGAAUAAUGAAAUAGGACGUUUGAUUCUAUUUUGUUGGUUUCUAGGAUCGACGUAAUGAUUAAUAGGGAUAGUUGGGGGCAUUAGUAUUCAAUUGUCAGAGGUGAAAUUCUUGGAUUUAUUGAAGACUAACUACUGCGAAAGCAUUUGCCAAGGAUGUUUUCAUUAAUCAAGAACGAAAGUUAGGGGAUCGAAGACGAUCAGAUACCGUCGUAGUCUUAACCAUAAACUAUGCCGACUAGGAUCGGAUGAUGUUAAUUUUUAAUGACUCAUUCGGCGCCU
Molecule: ribosomal RNA, 515 nt
Filed under: uncultured Glomus
Lineage: Eukaryota; Fungi; Glomeromycota; Glomeromycetes; Glomerales; Glomeraceae
Description: SSU rRNA
Rfam family: Eukaryotic small subunit ribosomal RNA
Source: RNAcentral